GACUCAGCAUCCUGCUGCCCAGACAGACCCUAGCACUCUCUGGAUGGGGAUCUUCUGCUCUGAGGGAGGGUACAGCAGAAAAUUAGCCCCACAGAGUGAUUUCUGAAUACCAAGGCAAACCAUGGAUUCUGUCUGACAAAGGAGGGCUAGAGACUUGAGUGAGUUCUUCCAGCUGGGUGAGAGGGGAGUGGAAGAGAGCAAGCAGAGAGAGGAGAGUCAGACUCAGACUCGGAGCCCUUUGAAAAGGUCCUGGAACCACUCUCAGAAAGUCCCCCUGUGGGCACUCUGUCCUUCUGCCUGCCCAGGCACGGCCAGGCUGACCCGAGGCCCCGCCUGUGAGAACAGAGGCGCCACACUCCUCACAACCACAGUGGCCAUGUCUGAGGUCCCUCUUGAUCUAGAUGGUCUUUGCGUCUUCCCUCAUUCCGCCCUGACCUUUCCGCAAUGAAGAGAGGGGACAGGCAGCCCUGGGCGAGGGUGGUGAAGAGGGACAGCGAGCGCCGCAAAACAAAAGGAAAAUAAUGAAGAGAGCCUGGACCCCAGGGAUGGGCUCCUUGCAAAGUCCUGAGUUUCAUUAAAUAUAGAAAGAAAUUUGGGCAAAUGAAGACCCUCACUCCAGGAAUUCAUCAGCUUAUCCAGGUCCAGCCUGAGCAUCUGGGAACACCCAGGGCUCCUGCAGAUCAUGGAAAGAAGGCAGGCUUGUUCCUGGCCCCAAAUGAUGCACACACUUCUUCAAAGAACAAAAUGGGAUUUUACUGUACAGUCAGGCCAAUGCAAAUAAGAAGGGGAGUGAAGAGAUUCCAGGACCCUGUUUAAAAUAAUAAAGACU
Talpa occidentalis (Iberian mole) is the source of this 829-nucleotide long non-coding RNA. RefSeq lists it as uncharacterized. The record is from RefSeq and is a predicted model, not a curated record. The transcript is spliced from 3 exons. NCBI's taxonomy places the organism in Eukaryota, Metazoa, Chordata, Mammalia, Eulipotyphla, Talpidae.